Molecule: ribosomal RNA, 208 nt
Filed under: uncultured bacterium
Lineage: Bacteria
Description: partial 16S ribosomal RNA
Rfam family: Bacterial small subunit ribosomal RNA
Source: RNAcentral
CGCGCAGGCGGUCGUACAAGUCGCGUGUGAAAGCCCCCGGCUCAACUGGGGAGGGUCACGCGAUACUGUUCGACUCGAAGGCAGGAGAGGGAAGUGGAAUUCCCGGUGUAGUGGUGAAAUGCGUAGAUAUCGGGAGGAACACCAGUGGCGAAGGCGACUACCUGGCCUGUUCUUGACGCUGAGGCGCGAAAGCUAGGGGAGCAAACGG